AAGGCAACGAUCAGUAGGGGUUCUGAGAGGAAGGUCCCCCACAUUGGAACUGAGACACGGUCCAAACUCCUACGGGAGGCAGCAGUGAGGAAUAUUGGUCAAUGGGCGAGAGCCUGAACCAGCCAAGUAGCGUGCAGGAAGACGGCCCUAUGGGUUGUAAACUGCUUUUAUAAGGGAAUAAAGUUAGUCUCGUGAGACUUUUUGCAUGUACCUUAUGAAUAAGGACCGGCUAAUUCCGUGCCAGCAGCCGCGGUAAUACGGAAGGUCCGGGCGUUAUCCGGAUUUAUUGGGUUUAAAGGGAGCGUAGGCCGGAGAUUAAGCGUGUUGUGAAAUGUAGACGCUCAACGUCUGCACUGCAGCGCGAACUGGUUUCCUUGAGUAGGCACAAAGUGGGCGGAAUUCGUGGUGUAGCGGUGAAAUGCUUAGAUAUCACGAAGAACUCCGAUUGCGAAGGCAGCUCACUGGAGCGCAACUGACGCUGAAGCUCGAAAGUGCGGGUAUCGAACAGGAUUAGAUACCCUGGUAGUCCGCACGGUAAACGAUGGAUGCCCGCUGUUGGUCUGAACAGGUCAGCGGCCAAGCGAAAGCAUUAAGCAUCCCACCUGGGGAGUACGCCGGCAACGGUGAAACUCAAAGGAAUUGACGGGGGCCCGCACAAGCGGAGGAACAUGUGGUUUAAUUCGAUGAUACGCGAGGAACCUUACCCGGGCUUGAAUUGCAGAGGAAGGAUUUGGAGACAAUGACGCCCUUCGGGGUCUCUGUGAAGGUGCUGCAUGGUUGUCGUCAGCUCGUGCCGGGAGGUGUCGGCUUAAGUGCCAUAACGAGCGCAACCCCUCUCCUUAGUUGCCAUCAGGUUAAGCUGGGCACUCUGGGGACACUGCCACCGUAAGGUGUGAGGAAGGUGGGGAUGACGUCAAAUCAGCACGGCCCUUACGUCCGGGGCUACACACGUGUUACAAUGGCAGGUACAGAGAGACGGUUGUACGUAAGUACGAUCAAAUCCUUAAAGCCUGUCUCAGUUCGGACUGGGGUCUGCAACCCGACCCCACGAAGCUGGAUUCGCUAGUAAUCGCGCAUCAGCCAUGGCGCGGUGAAUACGUUCCCGGGCCUUGUACACACCGCCCGUCAAGCCAUGAAAGCCGGGGGCGCCUAAAGUCCGUGACCGUAAGGAGCGGCCUAGGGCGAAACUGGUAAUUGGGGCUAAGUCGAAACAAGGUA
RNAcentral lists this ribosomal RNA (1218 nucleotides) under metagenome. Its description in RNAcentral is "bacterial SSU rRNA". It matches the Rfam family "Bacterial small subunit ribosomal RNA", at positions 270 to 1498 of the family's 1533-position model. The record is from RNAcentral.